UACGGGGGGGGCAAGCGUUGUUCGGAAUUACUGGGCGUAAAGGGCUCGUAGGCGGCCAACUAAGUCGGAUGUGAAAUCCCCAGGCUUAACCUGGGAAUUGCAUCCGAUACUGGAUGGCUUGAAUUCGGGAGAGGGAUGCAGAAUUCCAGGUGUAGCGGUGAAAUGCGUAGAUAUCUGGAGGAAUACCGGUGGCGAAGGCGGCAUCCUGGACCGACAUUGACGCUGAGGAGCGAAAGCUAGGGGAGCAAACGGG
RNAcentral lists this ribosomal RNA (253 nucleotides) under uncultured bacterium. RNAcentral's name for it is "partial 16S ribosomal RNA". It matches the Rfam family "Bacterial small subunit ribosomal RNA", at positions 524 to 776 of the family's 1533-position model. The record is from RNAcentral.